AAAAACAUGGCCCUGCCUAGCAACCAUCGUUCGUGUUCCACCCUCGAAGAGAAGACUUCGGGAACCAGUGGAGCCGGCUGGCGGACCUUCGGCUCUCUAGCAUUUAGCUUUCUCUCCCGGAUUCGAAGGGUGGUCUACUUAGGGCUGCGGUUGCUUGGGUCGUCGCGUUGUUGUGGAUAUCGCACCCGUCAGUUGUUAGUGCUUGCUUAUCAAAUAAACUACGUUCGCUCAGGAUAUCCGCAUCGGGAGCAGCCAUAAAUCCCAUAUAAUUCGGAAUCACACCUUAAAUCAAGCUGUUUCGGAUACAAAUGCACUUGCAUUUAAGUUGCAUCCGGAGAAUGUGUGAAGAGCUGCCCCCAUCCGCUUAAGCAUGAAUCGCUACAUCACGCUGACCCAAUUGGGCGAUGGAACCUACGGCACCGUGGUCCUGGGACAGCGCAAGGACACCGGCGAGAAGGUGGCCAUCAAGCGCAUGAAGCGCAAGUACUACUCCUGGGAGGAGGCCAUGAAUCUGCGUGAGGUCAAGUCCCUGAAAAAACUGUCGCAUCCGAAUAUCGUCAAGCUGAAAGAGGUGAUUCGGGAGAACGACACCCUGUACUUUGUGUUCGAGUACAUGAAGGAGAACCUCUACCAGAUGAUCAAGGAUAGGGACACACAUCUACCCGAGCCGGAGCUAAAGAGCAUUCUCUUCCAGGUUUUAACUGGCCUGGCCUUCAUGCAUCGCCACGGCUUUUUCCAUCGCGACCUGAAGCCGGAGAACCUGCUCUGCUCCGGGCCGGAGCUCAUCAAGAUAGCCGACUUCGGGCUGGCCAGGGAGAUCCGAUCGCGGCCUCCGUUCACGGACUACGUCUCCACACGUUGGUACCGGGCACCAGAGGUACUCCUGCACUCCACCAACUAUGGCAGCACCAUCGACCUCUGGGCCAUGGGCUGCAUCAUGGCCGAGCUCUACACCUUUCGUCCCCUCUUCCCGGGCAGCAGCGAGGUGGACCAGCUCUUCAAGAUCUGCUCCGUGCUGGGAACGCCAGAGAAGAGUGAUUGGCCGGAUGGAUAUCGGCUGGCCAGCAUGAUCCACUUCCGCUACCCGGACUGCAUCAAAGUGCCACUAAGCAGCGUCGUCAGCCGCUGCAGCCAAAAUGGAUUGGACCUGCUGGAGGACAUGCUGGCCUACGAUCCCGACAAGCGUCCGACGGCCCAGCAGAGUCUCAAGUACCCGUAUUUCCAUGCCCUCAAAAGGAUCUCGCCCACGGCGGCCACCAAGGCAAAUGUGCGGCUGAGCUCCAAGUAUGCGGCGUCCAAUGGACAGAGUGUCUCCAACAAUGUGCUUCCGGUGCAGGAGAAGCUGCAGGCGGUCACGGAGCUGCUCCACCAGAACAACAACAACAACGGUAGCCACUCCAAUCUUGGCAAGAACAAUAACUUGACGAGCACCAAAAAUGGAAUGGGAAUGCCCAGGAAGUACCAGCCCAAGCUGAGCUUCCUGACCAGCAAUGAGUUGGUGGGUGCGGGCUCUCAGGCGGAUUCCUCCAGUCUGGGUGGAGCCACAGUGGAUGGUGUGCAGAUGCCACAGCUCCAAAACGGAGGAGGAGGUGGGGAGUCCAUCAACGACAUCUACCUGAACCGCAACAUCUCGCAGCUCUUCGGAUUGCCAGCGGGAUCGCAGCUCCACCAGCAGCAGCAGGCCCAUCAUCCCAAUGUCUCCUUCAGCUCGACCAUGUCCCGGAAUGCCGGCGCCAUCUACGUCAAUGGGAGCCACCUCAGCUACGACACGGCCAACAUGAAUGCCAAGAACAAUGCCAAGAUCGUGGUGGGCGCCUCCAAUGGUGGCUACUAUGUGCCGGUGGCCAGGCCAUCGCUCCUCGGUCCCGAGGCCAAAGUGUACAACGUGUUCUCCAAGGUCAGUGCCAGCCAGGCUCCGCCCAGCCUCAUUGUGCGACAGCCGCAAGUGCAGCUGCAGCCGGAGGCAGUGCCUCCCAUGCCCAUGCGACUCUCGGGAAGAUCGCGAGCUGCGGCCCAGGACUCCAAGAUGGGUGCUCUGAAGUCCGACGAUCUGGAUCUGAUAUUAGGCUCCAAGCUGAAAACUUCCGCCAAGCGACAGCGCAAUGCCAAGGCCAACAUCCUGCUGGAGGACCUCUUUGGCCAGUUGUCCAUGGACUCCGAUAGCGACGGGAAGUAUCCGCACACAGUGCCGCCCACGCAGCAGGCCAAGAGCGGGAAGACGUCGACCGGGGGCCACCGGGAGCGGGAGCGGGACCGGGAAAGGGAUCUCUUCGGGGAGAGCUUCCUGCCCAGGCCGGGAUUGCGGAAGAAGGCCACCCAGAGCAGUCUGGAGGUGAACAACGGCAGCCACGCGGACUCGCUUGAUAACUCCUCCUCGUCCUCCCCCUCAAUUGAUGAAGAAUGUCGCUUUUGGCCCAUAAGAGCUCCAAACACUCAGAAGGAGAAACACGCCGUGGCAGCCAGUUUCCCCUGGGAUGAGUCCAACAAGACGGAGGAUGAGAAGCUAACUGCUUGGAUGGUGGCCGAGAACGGUAACUUGGUUUUGGGUAGUCAUCAAGCGUAGAAGUCGAGAGCACUCCACUCCAAUUCAAUCCACAAAAAGUAGUUACCUAGCAAUCACCCUUUACCGAAUGGAUCAUUGCUGGAGAAUAAGUUCUGAGAAGAUCGACUUGCGAAAUGCCGUUGUACCUGAAACAGAAUGGAGUUAAUAUAAGUGCCUGUGUGGAUCUGCGUUUUUUUCGAACUGAAUCCAAGUCCAAAUCACCCAGCCACGGAGCCAUGGACUCAUCGAAUCGGCGUGUGGAGCUAGUCUAGUCUCGAUAUAAUGUUAUUGCUGUGAUACCACUAAGCUAAACAAACUAUUGUGUAAAGUAGCCUCUACGAACUUGAGUCUCGAGUGUAAGUUGUACUUUAAGCUACUAUACGAUAAUAUAAUCCGAGUGAGUUUUGAA
Non-coding RNA from Drosophila suzukii, 2951 nucleotides. Lineage: Eukaryota; Metazoa; Arthropoda; Insecta; Diptera; Drosophilidae. The record is from RefSeq and is a predicted model, not a curated record.